AAGUUUUCUUUAGCGUAUGGGUUGGAGCAGUAAGUUUACGUCAUCAUUUCGACACGGCGGUAAAAACAAAUCAAAGGGCGGCGACAGAAGCGAACUAAUGUUGUUUUUCUGCUCUUUUUUGUGCGUUUGAAGCGCUGCUUUCCUUUUGCUUACAGCAGUUCACCAUGAUUUCCACUGGAGAUGUGCAGAGUGGUCUUCGUAAACUGGAAAGCCUUUUACGAGUGAUCAAAUACCCAGAGGAUGUCGAUUAUAACAAGCUUUCCAAAGGAGAUCCUUCAGCUUUUUUGCCAAUCGCGAGCUUCACCCUCACCACCUUCUCUCCACCUUUUGCUGAGCUGCUCAUGACAGCUGGAUUUGAACUGAUUGGGAAAACAGACCUCCGUUUCACAGAUACUCUUUACAAGUUGCUCCGGGAUGUUUUCCACUACAAGCCCGUACUCUCCAAACAGCAGUUCUUCCAGUUGGGUUUUUCUCAAAGGAAAAUUUCUUUCAUUUGUGACAUCAUUAACUUGGUGCUGCAAAAACACGGCCAAUUAAAAAAGCCCAAAGUCAGACGCCCUGUCUCACACAGUGAUGUUGGAGUGGAAGGUCAUACAGUAAACCCUGAUCCUCCCAGUAUCUUCAGGGAGCCGUUUAUUGUAAAUCUGGCUAAAACUCCGUCCUCUAUCACUGCAAUCGCCUCCAGUGCAGAAGAGUUUCCGUCCUGUCCUCCUCAUGCUGACGUGGAUUCCUUCAUUUCUUCUACAAAUGAGAUCACAAAUGUACCAAUAGCAGAGGAGCCCAGUGAUGGCACUGUUUGUUUAUCGGGGAUGGAGAGCAGACUCUCAGCGUUGGAGGUUCAAGUGAAUCAGAUUUUAUCUCGGUUCAACAAGCUGGACAUUCUGGAGAAACGUCUGGAGGAACUUGAAAACUGGAAAAGCACCGACAAGUUUGGGCCAUCUUGCACAUGGCUGAAUUACAGGGGGACAAAGAAGUUAUCACAAUACCUCGAGAGAGCUGGGAAAACCUGAUGGGCAGAGUUCUUCUACUGGAAACCAAACUAGACUUGAAAAAUCCAGAAUUUUGGGAGGAAGACCUGAAGGGCAUGCUGGGUAGGAUAACAAACAUGUAUGUCACGUUAUUGUUCAGUUAUAGACGGCACUCCUGAAUUGAUUUCACUUUGCAGUUGCUCUUUACUCACUGCUCUUUCAUACGGAUGGUGAUGUCUCAGAAGUGGAUGCAUUUUCUGUACAGAAACCUGAUGUUUUUGUGUGACGUUUGCAGGAUGAAGAGCACCUCUGGUCUGUUGAGACAGAAUGAAUCUUCUGACACAGCACUUUUUUAAUAUAUCUAUUAUUGGCUGUUAUACCAGAUUUUUGUUUGUCUUUCUUGUAUUCUUAUAAUAAACAAACUUAAAAUUUGUAUAACGUUGUUGUAAAAUUAUUGCAUUAAAAUUAAUAUUAAAUUCUUCAAGAUACUUUAAGUUGAUUUCAUUAUCAAACUUGGCCUAAACCCAGAAAAAAACUUCAAAUUCUCAAACCUACUACAUACUUCUUCAGAUUGUCACCAGGCUUGUCUCUGUCAUUCUCAGGGAUUGUGUUCCUAUAAAGAGCAGCCAAAAAAAGUCAAAAGGUUUUGUGUAUUUAAUGGACCAAAACAAUAUGAGUAUCUAUGCUGUUUUCUGAUUACAGCAGACAUUGUAAUCUUCCCUCCGUGAAGGCCUGGCACAUCAUUGGUGGCUCUCUCUCUCUCUGUAAUGCAAUUACUUCCACACUGUCUGCCUUUUCCCAUCUUGAAUUAUUUCAAUAAUGGAUGUGAAAAAUGUUUGACAUGUCCAACAGGUUUGUGUGCAAUGACGCACAAUAAAGUGAAGAUUACUACCGGUAGUUGUAUUAACAACAGUUAAUGUUGACAGACAUGAUAUAAGCCCGUCAAAGUGAUUGUUUUGCAGAGAUUUCUACUUGUUCACUUGCAACAUGUCCAAAAGCAUUCGCCAUUAGAAGAAAUAAACAUGAAACGGCCACUAGGUUGCGCCCAAAUGUCUAAAGACUGUGGAGGUUACAUUAACUGUUGGGCAAAGUUUGAUUCUGUUGGGAAUUCUGUUGAAAUACACCAAAGCAACGGAGAAGGACUGUAAAUUAGAAGAAUGUGUACCAACACGUUGGGGUUAUUAAUUGUAAUUACAUAUAUGAUCAUUAAAGGCCAAACUUUAAAAAA
This is a non-coding RNA of Oryzias latipes (Japanese medaka), 2196 nucleotides long. The record is from RefSeq and is a predicted model, not a curated record. Lineage: Eukaryota; Metazoa; Chordata; Actinopteri; Beloniformes; Adrianichthyidae.